CACCUUCUUGCCUUACUGCUUGGUUUUGACGCUGAGAAACAGAAACAACUGAUAAACUUAUUUUCUUAUUGUCAAAUGUUAUGUUUUAGUAGUAAUGAAUUACUGAAAUAUGAAAUAUGGGGCAUUUUGAGUGAAAGUGUUUUUCUUACAGUUUCCACCUUCAAGACAGAAAAAUCACAUCCCACUGAUGAUGUAAUUCAAUAAAUGUGAUCAUCCAAACAUGUCAGAGAUAAAUCCCUCAAGACCAAGGGAAACAGACUCUAUGGAGGAACCCACUGGCAGCCCUUCAGAUGCAUCUUUGCCACUGAUGAAUUUGAUGCUGUUUGGGAGGAAAGGAAUCCAAAGGACAUCCAUCGGCAACAUCAUACUUUCACAGUCUCACUCAAAGCAGAAUAUCAGUUCAGACUUUUCGAAGAGGCAAGCUGAAGUAUGUGGAUAUGCAGUCACUCUGGUUGAAGCGCCAAGUCUUGCCACAACGCCUCUCUCAC
This is a long non-coding RNA of Clupea harengus (Atlantic herring), 488 nucleotides long. RefSeq lists it as uncharacterized. The transcript has 3 exons. The record is from RefSeq and is a predicted model, not a curated record. Lineage: Eukaryota; Metazoa; Chordata; Actinopteri; Clupeiformes; Clupeidae.